UCGAUAUGUUGAACUUAG
RNAcentral lists this small nuclear RNA (18 nucleotides) under Arabidopsis thaliana (thale cress). RNAcentral's name for it is "snRNA_07437". Lineage: Eukaryota; Viridiplantae; Streptophyta; Magnoliopsida; Brassicales; Brassicaceae. The record is from RNAcentral.